Long non-coding RNA from Dermacentor andersoni, 1567 nucleotides. RefSeq lists it as uncharacterized. NCBI's taxonomy places the organism in Eukaryota, Metazoa, Arthropoda, Arachnida, Ixodida, Ixodidae. The record is from RefSeq and is a predicted model, not a curated record.
GUUCAUCACAUGUGCAUUUGCAACACAUUGGCGGAGGCAAUACGAACUGCAUUUCUCGCUAGCUGGACAAAUCGGAAUGGCAAUGCAUCUUGGAGAACAAGACUCGAAUUGUGAAAGUCUGGUGGUUUUCGCCAAGUUUCACAGAACUUUGUUUUAUGUCAAGAUGGGCUAACACCAUGUCACCUGAUGCUGUCACUCUCUGAUGGGGUGCACUUCAGAGAACUGCGGAUAACCGGCAGCCACGUGGCGCGGGGUCAGCUCAGGAAUGUGGUACUCGGCAGUGCCACCCUUGACGGAGCAGAGUUCUACGAAGCCCUCUGACGUCGGCUCCGGACCUUUACACCUGUGUGUGUGUGCGGCACUGAAACCUGUGCAACACGUGUUUGUGAGCCCUCCUCCAAAAGGGCGGGUCAUCUACGGUGACGUCGAAUGAUGACGGGGGGAACAAGUGCUUAUAAGCAGCGUUUGCCGGCUGCUAGGGUGUGCUUGUCGUCAUGAGCUGAGUGCUCGUUGUCAUGCUCGAAAUGUACUAGUGUGCUGUAUGCGUCGUCUUGCGUGCUCCAUGUGGGAGUCACGCUAGACUGGCGAUGUAUAUCAUGUUUUAAAUAUAAAUCCUGCAAAUAAACCCUGCUCACCUAGCCCUGUCGUCCCAAGGUCCUCCCGACAACUACGACCGCUCCAAUCCCGAUAAUGCAUACAAAAGCAAAUAGAGCUAUUUGUAUCAACUGAUCGCAAGCUCAUUGGUAUUACGCCCGAACUUUGUCACAAGUGAGAUUCUCCAAACUAGAAAGUCAACCUCAACUGUCCUGACAUACUCUCAGCCUGCGCAUGCCUCAGUGUUGCGUUUCACUGCUUUAAGGGGUUUAUUUUGGUUUGGAUGUGGGUAACCUGCAUCUCAGUGUCAGCCAACACUUUGCUUCUUGAGCUCAAGCUCCUUCAAAGAGGCAGUGGCACUGUUCCUUUCCUGGUCAUUCCUCAAUGCAAUAGUCUUUCCUAUUCUUGUCCUGGCUUUGAUUAAGGCCAUUUCAAAUCUGCAGUUGCAGCACAUUCGAAAUGCGGAUCAAUGGUGAAUAUCUCAGCAACAGUGGGGACAAAUUAUUAGUGAUUGAGGACCUUAACCAAAAAAGUGUUAGUGGGUUUGAAGAUUAAUAUGCAGAAGACAAUGUUCAAGAAUUCACAUCGCCAGUCAGCCUUUAGAGUCUGUACAGGAGUAAUUUUACCUAGGUCAGUUGCUCGCAAGGGACCCUGAUCAUGAAAAGGAAAUUUACUUAAGAAUAAAAAUGGGUUGGAAUGCAUAUGGCAGACAUUACCGAAUCAUGGCUGGGAGCUUACCACUGUAAUUGAAAAGAAAAGUGUACAAUUCUUGCAUUCUACUAGUGCUAACAUAUGAGGCACACAUUAGAAUCGGGUAAAUACUGUAAUUAAAUGUUGUAAUAUAUGGUUCUUGCUUGAAAAGUUUCCUAGGGCAGGCAUAAAUGGGAGUUGUCGACACGCGAUCACAGGUGUUGAAUGCAUACAUUGUUUCCUAAGCAUUGCCGGGGUAGACUUGCUGCCACUAAAGGGGUCG